UAGGGAAUCUUCGGCAAUGGACGGAAGUCUGACCGAGCAACGCCGCGCGAGUGAAGAAGGUUUUCGGAUCGUAAAGCUCUGUUGUCAGAGAAGAACGUUGGUAGGAGUGGAAAAUCUACCAAGUGACGGUAACUAACCAGAAAGGGACGGCUAACUACGUGCCAGCAGCCGCGGUAAUACGUAGGUCCCGAGCGUUGUCCGGACUUAUUGGGCGUAAAGCGAGCGCAGGCGGUUCUUUAAGACUGAAGUUAAAGGCAGUGGCUUAACCAUUGUACGCUUUGGAAACUGGAGGACUUGAGUGCAGAAGGGGAGAGUGGAAUUCCAGGUGUAGCGGUGAAAUGCGUAGAUAUAUGGAGGAACACCGGUGGCGAAGGCGUCUCUCUGGUCUGUAACUGACGCUGAGGCUCAAAAGCGUGGGGAGCAAACAGG
RNAcentral lists this ribosomal RNA (429 nucleotides) under Bacillota bacterium. RNAcentral's name for it is "Firmicutes bacterium partial 16S ribosomal RNA". It matches the Rfam family "Bacterial small subunit ribosomal RNA", at positions 355 to 776 of the family's 1533-position model. Lineage: Bacteria; Bacillati; Bacillota. The record is from RNAcentral.